AUGUACCAGGUGAUCCCCUACAGUGCCGGCUGACUGCCGGCGUGCCCGCGGCGGUCCAAGCAGGUCGAGGCCGAGGGCGCGGCUGGCCACAGGAGAGCGGGCUCGCGGCUCGCCGACGCGGCGGCGAGGGGUGACGGCGGGGAGGCGGUGAGGAGGGUGGUGGCAGAGAGCCUGGUGCUAGUGGUGGGGAGGCGCGGGUGCUGCCUCAGCCACGUGGUGAAGCGGCUGGUGCAGGGGCUCGGGGUGAACCCCGCCAUGCACGAGGUCACCGACGACGCCGAGCUCGCCGCGGCGGUGGCCGGGAAUGCUGCGAGGCUAGCGGUGUUCGUCGGUGGGAGGAUCCUCGGUGGGCUCGGUCGGCUCAUGGCCAUGCACAUCUCCGGCGAGCUUGUGGCCAUACUCAAGGACGCCAGCGCGCUCUGGCUGUGA
This 429-nucleotide ribosomal RNA is filed under the name Triticum aestivum (bread wheat). RNAcentral describes it as "partial small subunit ribosomal RNA". The record is from RNAcentral. Lineage: Eukaryota; Viridiplantae; Streptophyta; Magnoliopsida; Poales; Poaceae.